GGGCCCUUCGGGAGGGCCCCCCCUCAAUCCUGUCGUGCUUACGUCAGAGGGUUGGGUGGAGGCUCUCCUGAAGGCCUC
Molecule: microRNA precursor, 78 nt
Filed under: Dipodomys ordii (Ord's kangaroo rat)
Lineage: Eukaryota; Metazoa; Chordata; Mammalia; Rodentia; Heteromyidae
Description: miRNA (ENSDORG00000020630.2)
Rfam family: mir-296 microRNA precursor family
Source: RNAcentral